GGAGUGGGUAUGCUUAACACAUGCAAGUCGAACGGUAACAUAGCUAGCUUGCUAGGAUGAGUAGAGCGGCGGACGGGUGAGUAAUACGUAGGAAUCUACCUAGUAGUGGGGGACAACUUGUGGAAACGCAAGCUAAUACCGCAUACGCCCUACGGGGGAAAGCGGGGGAUCUUCGGACCUCGUGCUAUUAGAUGAGCCUGCGUUAGAUUAGCUAGUUGGUGGGGUAAAGCCCUACCAAGGCGACGAUCUAUAGCUGGUCUGAGAGGAUGAUCAGCCACACUGGGACUGAGACACGGCCCAGACUCCUACGGGAGGCAGCAGUGGGGAAUAUUGCGCAAUGGGGGCAACCCUGACGCAGCCAUGCCGCGUGUGUGAAGAAGGCUCUAGGGUUGUAAAGCACUUUCAGCGGGGAGGAAAGGUUGUAGUUUAAUAAGCUGCAGCUGUGACGUUACCCGCAGAAGAAGCACCGGCUAAUUCAGUGCCAGCAGCCGCGGUAAUACUGAAGGUGCAAGCGUUAAUCGGAAUUACUGGGCGUAAAGCGCGCGUAGGCGGCUUGGUCAGUCAGAUGUGAAAGCCCCGGGCUCAACCUGGGAACUGCAUUUGAUACUGCUGAGCUAGAGUAUGGGAGAGGGCUGUGGAAUUCCACGUGUAGCGGGAAAUUCGUAUAUCUCUGAAGGAACACCAGUGGCGAAGGCGGCUCUCUGGACCAAUACUGACGCUGAGGUGCGAAAGCGUGGGUAGCAAACGGGAUUAGAUACCCCGGUAGUCCACGCCGUAAACGAUGUCAACUAACUGUUGGGCGGGUUUCCGCUUAGUGGUGCAGCUAACGCAAUAAGUUGACCGCCUGGGGAGUACGGCCGCAAGGCUAAAACUCAAAUGAAUUGACGGGGGCCCGCACAAGCGGUGGAGCAUGUGGUUUAAUUCGAUGCGACGCGAAGAACCUUCCCUACCCUUGACAUACAGAGAACUUUCUAGAGAUAGAUUGGUGCCUUCGGGAACUCUGAUACAGGUGCUGCAUGGCUGUCGUCAGCUCGUGUCGUGAGAUGUUGGGGUUCCCGCACGAGCGCAUCAUGUCUAGUGCAGCACAUAUGGUGGACUCUAAGAGACUGCCGGUGAUACCGAGGAGGUGGGGAUGACUUCAGUCAUCAUGGCCUUAGGUAGAUACACGAUGUCCAAUGUGCUAACAACGGUGCAGACCCACG
Molecule: ribosomal RNA, 1202 nt
Filed under: uncultured prokaryote
Description: partial 16S ribosomal RNA
Rfam family: Bacterial small subunit ribosomal RNA
Source: RNAcentral